Molecule: long non-coding RNA, 247 nt
Filed under: Elaeis guineensis (African oil palm)
Lineage: Eukaryota; Viridiplantae; Streptophyta; Magnoliopsida; Arecales; Arecaceae
Description: long non-coding RNA (EGUI_LNC055330)
Source: RNAcentral
UGCGGCCCCAUCACUCCCUGGCGGGUCGCAGUAACGGCCAGGACUCUGUUCCACUUCCUGCGAUGGAUUCUGCGUGGCUCCAUUACUCCCUAACAGACCGCAAUGAUGCCCAUGAUCCUGCUUCACUUCCUGCGAUGGAUACCGUGCGAUUCUUCCAUCCUCUGGCAAGUCACGACAAUGGACGCCACUCCACUCCCCGCAACAGAUUCCACGUGGCAUGUCCCAGUGGUAGCCAUGAUUCCACUCC